This 428-nucleotide long non-coding RNA is filed under the name Mus pahari (shrew mouse). Its description in RNAcentral is "predicted gene 27222 (MGP_PahariEiJ_G0003923.1)". The record is from RNAcentral. Lineage: Eukaryota; Metazoa; Chordata; Mammalia; Rodentia; Muridae.
GCAUCAAAUCAGGGCCUUGUGGGUGCCGGGCAAACACUCUACUGACUACUCUAGACCCCAGACGAGACACUGGAUAUUUCUGGGGAGAAAGUACAUCAUGUGUUGGAUGGAAUUCCACCUUGGCAAGAAUAACAAAGUUCCUCAGGUUGCCUGAAGGAGCCACGAUAUGAAGCCUGCUUUCUCCUCCCAUGGCCACAGUGGGGCGCACCAAGGCUACUCCAAACGGCCCAGUAUUCAAAGGCUAGUGCUUACAGGAGACACAGGUCAACUGCCUGCUAAUAAAGGGGACUUCUAAGGCCUCUCACUGACUCAGUCUUGAGGAUGCGAAUGGCUUGUUAACACUCUGUUCACAAGUAAGGACAAGAUGUUGAGACAAGCUGGGGAAACGGGGUGUUACUUCUGCAAAGCAUAGGUAGGCUUGGCAUGCC